Molecule: ribosomal RNA, 465 nt
Filed under: uncultured bacterium
Lineage: Bacteria
Description: partial 16S ribosomal RNA
Rfam family: Bacterial small subunit ribosomal RNA
Source: RNAcentral
CCUACGGGUGGCAGCAGUGGGGAAUAUAGCGCAAUGGGCGAAAGCCUGACGCAGCGACGCCGCGUGAGGGAUGAAGGUCUUCGGAUCGUAAACCUCUGUCAGCAGGGAAGAACGGUCACUGUGCUAAUCAGCAGUGAAUUGACGGUACCUGCAAAGGAAGCACCGGCUAACUCCGUGCCAGCAGCCGCGGUAAUACGGAGGGUGCGAGCGUUAAUCGGAAUUACUGGGCGUAAAGCGCUCGUAGGCGGUAUGUCAAGUCAAGGGUGAAAUCCCCGCGCUCAACGUGGGAACUGCCUUUGAAACUGGCAAACUGGAGUGUGUGAGAGGAUAGUGGAAUUCCAGGUGUAGGAGUGAAUUCCGUAGAUAUCUGGGGGAAAAUCAGUGGUGAGGGCGACUAUCUGGCACAUAACUGCCGCUGAGGAGCAAAAGCGUGGGUAGCAAACAGGAUUAGAUCCCCCAGUAGUC